GACAUGACAGUCAGACAAAAGUAGUUUGUACCUUAAAAUAUGUUGGAUAAACUGAAAAAAAAUGCUGUUCUGUAAGUGCAGCAGAGGGUUUAGCAUCCAACUUAUUGCUCAUGAAAAGAUUACUUUCUCAAAACAUCUUCUCUAGCUUCUUCUUUCGUGUGGCAGAGCUGAGUCACUGUUUAUUUAUUUUAUCAAUGGGCACUAAGAGAUUUCUUUUAAAAAACUGUGUCAAUUUCCAUGUUUCGGAAAGAUGGUUGCUGUUAUCUGAUGACGCUUUUUGCGGCCAGUUAGUCAUCGUCACUGUAAGUCUGCUGCUUACUGGAAACAUUUUCAGCUUUUUUUUUUUUUGACAGCCAUGCAAUGACCUGGUUGUUUGGCUUGUGACAUAAUGUUGAAACAGGAAUGGAAAAGAUCUAUUAUUCAAAUGUGGGUGCAACGACCAGCCUAAACAUCACUCAUUAAACUUUGUUGGCCCUUCACUGAGUGAGUAAGCUGCUGUAAGUGUUGUUUCUCAAUUGUUCAACCCUUUUGUUCCCAGACUCUCACACGAACCAGCGUCACUCAGAUUCGCUCAGCCCAAAGCUCCAAAGCCAUAAAACUCCCACACAUUCACGUAGGUGAUGAGGAGAGCAGCGUGCAGGAGUUGUUCUUCUUGUCAGCACAGAUUUCAGAGUGCAUCACUGACUAACCUUCUCUGGAAAUUGCAUGCGGAGCGAGCAGCAGUCUGGCUCCCGACAGCACACAUCUGCACUGGGGGAACCCAGUGACGUGGGUCAGCAUUAGAGCAGGGAGUGAGUGGUCUUCAUUCAUGACGACUGAGAUCAUCUUUCUCGUUCUCUGUGAGAACUGAAAUAAGUGCUCAAGGUUACAAUAUUUUAUGGAGCCAGAACUAUCGUUUGCAGCUAAUAAAAGUGAGUGCUCAAGAGUAAAGAAAGUCACGUCUAAUUGAAGGUAAACCAACAACUGCAGUCACCUUAUCUCCUCCAUGAAUUGUGUUGAGGUCAAUCAAAGACAACAACCGUGGCAUUAGGAUGUGUGUAUUUGUGUUUGUUGUAUUCAUACACGUGUGUGUGUGUGUGUGUGGUCCGGCUGGAUUGAUAGAUAUGUAGAGGGAGGAGUGUGAGGCAUGGAGCAGUAAACAAUGAGACGUGCAUGUAGGAGGUCUGGGUGCAGACUAAACCCAGAGCUGUCAGGCUUCCAGACAGUCAUACAGAUAGAUCCGAUCUCAGGGUCCACACUGUUUUAUAGCCCUGUCACAUUCAAACCGGCGGGUUGUUAGCUUACAGCCUCUGCAUCCCUCACCUGGAACAAAAAAUAUU
This is a long non-coding RNA of Oryzias melastigma (Indian medaka), 1319 nucleotides long. RefSeq lists it as uncharacterized. Lineage: Eukaryota; Metazoa; Chordata; Actinopteri; Beloniformes; Adrianichthyidae. The transcript has 3 exons. The record is from RefSeq and is a predicted model, not a curated record.